Molecule: long non-coding RNA, 406 nt
Filed under: Homo sapiens (human)
Lineage: Eukaryota; Metazoa; Chordata; Mammalia; Primates; Hominidae
Description: HSALNT0095225
Source: RNAcentral
UAGGUGUCUGCUGCUCCACGCCACUGCUGCCGGCGCCCCGACCUCAUCCCCAGCAGCCCCCUCUGCAGCUAAGGGUUACCACCGCACCACCUCUCUUCUUUGCCUGCCUCAGCGGCCAAGGCUCUGCGGUAGGAGACAACCCAGCCGGGUGGCGGGUGGGCCUGUCUAGGUUUGGGUUUGGGUCUUGCUGAGGCCCGCAUGAGAGGGGGUGGCCGUGACUCGGUGUCCCCUCUUUGCAGGGGGCUCUGCUGCGCCGCGCAGGCCCCUCCUCCUACAUCCUCUUUGGGGGGUCACUGGAAAGCAGAGCUUAGGCCCACUCUCUGUGCUUAGUAUGGCAGACUCCUUCUCACCCCUAGUCCCCUAACUCCCCAGGCCGAGGCCGCCUAGGGUCUGCCCAACAGCGACA